RNAcentral lists this ribosomal RNA (297 nucleotides) under uncultured Pseudomonadota bacterium. RNAcentral describes it as "uncultured proteobacterium partial 16S ribosomal RNA". It matches the Rfam family "Bacterial small subunit ribosomal RNA", at positions 29 to 351 of the family's 1533-position model. Lineage: Bacteria; Pseudomonadati; Pseudomonadota. The record is from RNAcentral.
AGCGAACGCUGGCGGCAUGCUUAACACAUGCAAGUCGCACGAGGGGGCAACCCCUAGUGGCGGACGGGUGAGUAACGCGUAGGUAUCUAUCCGUGGGUGGGGGAUAACAGCGGGAAACUGCUGCUAAUACCGCAUGACACCUGAGGGUCAAAGGCGCAAGUCGCCUGUGGAGGAGCCUGCGUCCGAUUAGCUAGUUGGUGGGGUAAAGGCCUACCAAGGCGAUGAUCGGUAGCUGGUCUGAGAGGAUGAUCAGCCACACUGGGACUGAGACACGGCCCAGACACCUACGGGUGGCUG